This 253-nucleotide ribosomal RNA is filed under the name uncultured bacterium. Its description in RNAcentral is "partial 16S ribosomal RNA". It matches the Rfam family "Bacterial small subunit ribosomal RNA", at positions 524 to 776 of the family's 1533-position model. The record is from RNAcentral.
UACGGGGGGGGCAAGCGUUGUUCGGAAUUACUGGGCGUAAAGGGCUCGUAGGCGGCCAACUAAGUCAGACGUGAAAUCCCUCGGCUUAACCGGGGAACUGCGUCUGAUACUGGAUGGCUUGAGAUUGGGAGAGGGAUGCGGAAUUCCAGGUGUAGCGGUGAAAUGCGUAGAUAUCUGGAGGAACACCGGUGGCGAAGGCGGCAUCCUGGACCAACACUGACGCUGAGGCGCGAAAGCUAGGGGAGCAAACGGG